RNAcentral lists this ribosomal RNA (492 nucleotides) under uncultured bacterium. RNAcentral's name for it is "partial 16S ribosomal RNA". It matches the Rfam family "Bacterial small subunit ribosomal RNA", at positions 29 to 507 of the family's 1533-position model. The record is from RNAcentral.
AGUGAACGCUGGCGGUAGGCCUAACACAUGCAAGUCGAACGGCAGCACAGUAAGAGCUUGCUCUUACGGGUGGCGAGUGGCGGACGGGUGAGGAAUACAUCGGACUCUACUUUUUCGUGGGGGUUAACGUAGGGAAACUUACGCUAAUACCGCAUACGACCUACGGGUGAAAGCAGGGGAUCUUCGGACCUUGCGCGAUUGAAUGAGCCGAUGUCGGAUUAGCUAGUUGGCGGGGUAAAGGCCCACCAAGGCGACGAUCCGUAGCUGGUCUGAGAGGAGGGUACGCCACACUGGAACGUGGACACGGUCCAGGCGCCUAUGAGACGGAGCAGUGGGGAAUGUGGGACAAUGGGGGGAAGCCUGAUCCAGCCAUACCGCGUGUGAGAAGAAGGCCUUCGGGUUGGAAAGCCCUUUUGUUGGGAAAGAAAAGCAGCAGGUUAAUACCCCGCUGUUCUGACGGUACCCAAAGAAUAAGCACCGGCUAACUUCGUG